GCUGACGUAGCUCAACUGGCAGAGCACUUGAUUUGUAAUCAAGCGGUUGCGAGUUCGACUCUCGCCGUCAGCU
Molecule: transfer RNA, 73 nt
Filed under: Gemmatimonas sp.
Lineage: Bacteria; Pseudomonadati; Gemmatimonadota; Gemmatimonadia; Gemmatimonadales; Gemmatimonadaceae
Also listed under: 3 other names
Description: tRNA-Thr
Rfam family: tRNA
About the family: Transfer RNA (tRNA) molecules are approximately 80 nucleotides in length. Their secondary structure includes four short double-helical elements and three loops (D, anti-codon, and T loops).
Source: RNAcentral